Molecule: transfer RNA, 73 nt
Filed under: Paramuricea clavata
Lineage: Eukaryota; Metazoa; Cnidaria; Anthozoa; Malacalcyonacea; Plexauridae
Description: tRNA-Ser
Source: RNAcentral
GUGGUUAGUGCUCAGUUGGUUAGAGCGCUGCACCGGAAUCGCAGGGCCGCAUGUUCGAUUCCUGCAUGCCAUG